This is a small nucleolar RNA of Octodon degus (degu), 136 nucleotides long. Its record names the gene SNORA70. It matches the Rfam family "Small nucleolar RNA SNORA70". Rfam says of the family: snoRNA U70 seems to be exclusive to mammals and is a member of the H/ACA class of snoRNA which contain H (ANANNA) and ACA box motifs. H/ACA box snoRNAs are involved in the conversion of uridines to pseudouridines (5-ribosyluracil) a constituent of structural RNAs (transfer, ribosomal, small nuclear, and small nucleolar). NCBI's taxonomy places the organism in Eukaryota, Metazoa, Chordata, Mammalia, Rodentia, Octodontidae. The record is from Ensembl.
UUGUAGCUAUUUAAGCUGACUUGACUCCUUACCUUAUAGGAGCCUGGUGUGCAGUGGCUGCUAACAGCAACACCCUUGGUUAUGUACCUAGAAUGUUGCUUGUUUGGGUUACCCUGAGAGUCUGCUGGAAAUAGGG